This 404-nucleotide ribosomal RNA is filed under the name Actinomycetes bacterium. RNAcentral's name for it is "Actinobacteria bacterium partial 16S ribosomal RNA". It matches the Rfam family "Bacterial small subunit ribosomal RNA", at positions 355 to 776 of the family's 1533-position model. The record is from RNAcentral. Lineage: Bacteria; Bacillati; Actinomycetota; Actinomycetes.
UGGGGAAUAUUGGACAAUGGGCGCAAGCCUGAUCCAGCCAUGCCGCGUGAGUGAUGAAGGCCCUAGGGUUGUAAAGCUCUUUCACCGGUGAAGAUAAUGACGGUAACCGGAGAAGAAGCCCCGGCUAACUUCGUGCCAGCAGCCGCGGUAAUACGAAGGGGGCUAGCGUUGUUCGGAUUUACUGGGCGUAAAGCGCACGUAGGCGGACUAUUAAGUCAGUGGUGAAAUCCCGGGGCUCAACCCCGGAACUGCCUUUGAUACUGGUAGUCUUGAGUUCGAGAGAGGUGAGUGGAAUUCCGAGUGUAGAGGUGAAAUUCGUAGAUAUUCGGAGGAACACCAGUGGCGAAGGAGGCUCACUGGCUCGAUACUGACGCUGAGGUGCGAAAGCGUGGGGAGCAAACAGG